RNAcentral lists this ribosomal RNA (446 nucleotides) under uncultured bacterium. RNAcentral describes it as "partial 16S ribosomal RNA". It matches the Rfam family "Bacterial small subunit ribosomal RNA", at positions 338 to 795 of the family's 1533-position model. The record is from RNAcentral.
CCUACGGGAGGCAGCAGUCGAGAAUCAUUCACAAUGGGGGAAACCCUGAUGGUGCGACGCCGCGUGGGGGAAUGAAGGUCUUCGGAUUUUAAACCCCUGUCAUGUGGGAGCAAAUUAAAAAGAUAGUACCACAAGAGGAAGAGACGGCUAACUCUGUGCAAGCAGCCGCGGUAAUACAGAGGUCUCAAGCGUUGUUCGGAAUCACUGGGCGUAAAGCGUGCGUAGGCUGUUUCGUAAGUCGUGUGUGAAAGGCGCGGGCUCAACCCGCGGACGGCACAUGAUACUGCGAGACUAGAGUAAUGGAGGGGGAACCGGAAUUCUCGGUGUAGCAGUGAAAUGCGUAGAUAUCGAGAGGAACACUCGUGGCGAAGGCGGGUUCCUGGACAUUAACUGACGCUGAGGCACGAAGGCCAGGGGAGCGAAAGGGAUUAGAUACCCUGGUAGUC